UCACGCUCAAUUCUAGGGUCAAGUGUAUGGAAUACUUUGUUAAAUAUAUAGGAGCUGACACAAGCACACAAGGCAUCAACCGUUGUUGAAAUCUCACGAUGCUGUGCAAACUUCUGGUACUCUCUCUGCUAGUGGCGACGGUGGCUCUGACUGCUUCCGCAGCACCUGAAAAACGCUAUACAUGCUAUACGCGUUGCUCAAGCGAAUGUCCGUAUGGCGGUUGGUGCGAUAGUAAUGAUGAUUGCCGCUGCCUGGCAUAUAUUAACGGCUGACAUAUUCGAGGUAUCCGAAACGACAACAACCCAAUGAUUGGCGGUUGAUGGGACUUUUAGUUGAAAAAUUGUUUCAAUAAUAAUGUAAAAACAAAACAACAAAACAGCUAAAUAUAUUCAUUAAAAUGUG
Dreissena polymorpha is the source of this 402-nucleotide long non-coding RNA. RefSeq lists it as uncharacterized. Lineage: Eukaryota; Metazoa; Mollusca; Bivalvia; Myida; Dreissenidae. The transcript is spliced from 4 exons. The record is from RefSeq and is a predicted model, not a curated record.